CGCAGGCUUCCAGGGUCAGGCCAUCGGACCUGGGACAGGGUUCUUUGAGGACAAGGGCAGGAGGGAAAUGAGGACAGGCCCAUGGGGAUGUCACAGGAGACGCUCCAUGCAGGGCCGAGUGGAUAGUAGUUGGGAGUGGGGGGUGAGGGAGCCCCGAGGAUCCACGGACCUGAACUGAAUCACCGAGAAGCUUCUGGACUUCUUUGAGCCUCCGUUUUGCCAUCUGUCAGGUGGGGUUACUCACCCUUGGAUUGGCACCCGCAGUGCAGGGGUAUCCAAACAAGUGAAGGGGAGGGACAGAGAGUUUAAUAUUUCAUAUUUUCACGUUUAUUUAUCGUGGGGGCGGGGAGGGGCAGAGAGCGGGAGAGAGAGUCAGAGAGAGAAUCCCAAGCAGGCUCUGUGCUGUCAGCACAGAGUCAGAUGUGAGGCUCGAACUCACGAACCACGAGAUCAUGACCCGGGCCGAAGUCUGACGCUUAACCGACUGAGCCACCCAGGCGCCCCGAGAGUCUAAUAUUUCAAAUAGAGUGGUGCCCCACAGUCAGCUGUGACAGGUGAGAAUUUCUUACACGCCCACGUGCUUAUUUUAAGGCUACCUUGUAGCACUUGGCUUGGCACAUAAUAGGUUCUCAAUAAAUGUUCCUGCUUCCCCCCGCCUGUCCUUCCUUCUCAGAGGUGACGUGGGAGGAGGCCAGGGAAAGACCAAGCUGAGCCUUCAGCUAGGGGUUCCGUGACAUUUUCUGGAGGACAAAAGCCACAUCCUCUGUGUUCUGCAUCCCUGGAAAUCACGCGCGUGGCCGUGGGCCUGGAGGGGCAGCUAUGAAGAGAGUGCUUGCCCUGGGGGACCCCGCGGGGACACUAAGUCAACAAGCAGAAAGAUCUGCUCCCUGCCAGCUGCAACGCUUGGAGGUGGGGCAGCCCUCUUGUGACCCUGAGGAUGAGAGCUUCCAGGUAUGGAUGGUAGAACAGGAGGCUUCAAGGAAUCCGGGUUCUUGACGACUUCCUCAAACAACUGCACCCGCCCCACCCUGCCUGCCUCCAGGAUUUCACGCUACGUGACACAAACAGACGCUUCUUCGGUUAGGUCGCUAGAGUUAGAUCGUGACACAUUACAGGUCAAGCCAACCUGAACGUUAGAAAGGACUCUGGAGGCUUGAAGAAGCAGGCGGAGAUUGAUGUUGUCAGCUGCGAUUGGGAACUGGUCUGGAAGAAGCAGUGUGGUCGGAAAAGAGCCAGCCCAACCUGGGGCCAAGCGGGGUCCUGGGAAAAUCUCUUAUCCGGCUCAGCUUCCGGAUCCCCAGCUGUAAGGUGGGAUUGGAAAGCCGAAUUUGUCAAGAAGACCAGACAUAACAGGUCCGUCACGUAAGCUAGCCGAUACAUGCUUCGGGGUCCCGAUGACUUAACGGAUUUCUUUUGGGGGUGUCAGGAAAGAGGACUCCAGCCUUGCUAGGGAUCGAAAGUCAAGGUUAGAGAGGCGGGCGCAAGAAGGGCGUUGCGGACCGUGGCCUGUGUGUCCCAGCCCAGAGGGGCCUCUCAGCCGCUCACGGGAUGAGGAAGACUGAGCCAGUGGUGGGGUCGGUGUGGAUCCCAAGGGAUGAGCUGGCCGGGGGCUGGGGGGCUGUUGCCCAGCACGAGUAUGUUGAGGGAGGAAUGACGCACAGACCAGACACAAAGAUGACUAAAUAUGGUGUGAUCGGACGUUUGUGGGCUCAUGCUUGAUAUUACUUUCGUGCAGCAACAUAAACCCUGAGGAGCAAGCACAUGAUGCUGAUCGGUAAUGUGUUUAUAACAGCUGUUGGGGAGGGAGGUGACUUGGAUUCAGGCUUUCCG
RNAcentral lists this long non-coding RNA (1830 nucleotides) under Felis catus (domestic cat). RNAcentral's name for it is "lncRNA (ENSFCAG00000047212.1)". The record is from RNAcentral. Lineage: Eukaryota; Metazoa; Chordata; Mammalia; Carnivora; Felidae.